AUACUUACCUGGCAGGGGAGAUACCAUGAUCAAGAAGGUGGUUUACCCAGGGUGAGGCUUGGCCAUUGCACUCCGGUUUGUGCUGACCUCUGCGAAUUCCCCAAAUGUGGUAGUCUCGACUGCAUAAUUUAUGGUAGUAGGGUACUGCGUUUGCUCUCUCUCCUG
Molecule: small nuclear RNA, 165 nt
Filed under: Sinocyclocheilus grahami
Lineage: Eukaryota; Metazoa; Chordata; Actinopteri; Cypriniformes; Cyprinidae
Description: U1 spliceosomal RNA (ENSSGRG00000007424.1)
Rfam family: U1 spliceosomal RNA
About the family: U1 is a small nuclear RNA (snRNA) component of the spliceosome (involved in pre-mRNA splicing).
Source: Rfam by way of RNAcentral